RNAcentral lists this unclassified non-coding RNA (29 nucleotides) under Saccharolobus solfataricus. RNAcentral's name for it is "BMG3 RNA strand A from Saccharolobus solfataricus (PDB 7XPL, chain G)". Lineage: Archaea; Thermoproteati; Thermoproteota; Thermoprotei; Sulfolobales; Sulfolobaceae. The record is from RNAcentral.
GGGAGUCUGAACACUCAUGGUCUUCGCCC